CUGCCCCUUUCUGUUUGUCUCUUUGCCCUCGAUCUGAGGGGACAGGAUCCAAGUUCUACCCAUGGCUCCCAUUCUCAGCCACUCCUGCUCUGACCAGUGCACUUAAGGAAAAUGGGUGAAUGAAUGAAACAAACAAACAAAAGACGGGGUUCUCUUAGUAAGAGAAGAAGAGGGAGCCAUUGGGUCACCAACCGUCUCGCUCUGCUAUGGAAAGAGCCCGGGUAGUGUCAACAGUGCUUGCGAAGGAAGAGGUCAAAUUUAUCUGAAAUCACCACGACUGAUUACCAGGUGGCAGAAGCAAAAAGCAAGGACUCUGUGCUUCCUGUUGCUUCCCCAUGGAGUCUCAGCAUCAGGCAGUGUGGGAACGCAGGCAUCUCAUUUCCGAUGUGUUUGGCAGCUUCCAGAAAGUUUGAGUAGCACUUUAAAAACAUGAGAAAGUGAGAAGACGUGGACAGAAGGGACAGAAGUGUCACCCAAGUGCUGCGUUAAGGAGAGGGGUUGUGGGUGUGAAUCCUGGAAGGUGGAGUCUGAAGUCCAAGGAGGACUGUAGGAGAC
This 555-nucleotide long non-coding RNA is filed under the name Mus pahari (shrew mouse). Its description in RNAcentral is "lncRNA (MGP_PahariEiJ_G0006146.1)". The record is from RNAcentral. Lineage: Eukaryota; Metazoa; Chordata; Mammalia; Rodentia; Muridae.